AACUCUAGACACAAAUUAAAAUAAUACAAGCUUUAUAUUACAAGCCAGGGGCCUCGAGGGCUCGAAUACAUCAACUCGAAUACAAAUGAGUCAGCGGAAGCAACAAAAUCUAAGUACAGACAUAAGUUAAACAAGUUUGCCUUAAUAAGGCUAGCACAAAUUAGCAAUGAUCGAAAAGUCGUCGCCUCCUGCCUGGGACCUCCUAACUACUCCUCGAAGCCGAACUCCAUGUAUAACCAACCUUGGGAUCCUCUGGCUCCUGGACUCCAGCAUCUGGUUACAACAUCCGAGAAGAAUGGAAAAGGGGGGAAAGAGGGAGCAAAGCAACCAUGAGUACUCAUCCAAAGUACUCGCAAGCAAGGAUCCACACUACAAAUGCAUUGGUAUAUGUGGACUGAACUGCAGAAUGCCAGAAUAAGAGGGGGAGAAGCUAGUCCUAUCGAAGACAACAUUUCUGGUAGCCUCCAUCUUGAUGCAUACAGAAGAGAGUAGCUGGUAAGUCCACCAAGUAGCAACGUAUAGCAUAAACCUACUCGGCGAUCCUCCCCUUGUCGCCCUGUGGGAAAGCGAUCACCAGGUUAUCUCUGGAACUUAUCUGGGUGUGUUUUAUUAAGUAUCUGAUUCUAGUUGUCAUGAGGUGGAAAUACAACUCCGGGUCGUCCUUUUACUGUGGACACGACUAUUCGAAUAGAUCAAUCUUCCCUGCAGGGGUGCACCACAUUUCCCAACACGAUUGAUCCCUCUGGCCGGACACACUUUCCUGGGUCAUGUAGGGACUCGGAAGAUCAACACGUCGCAGCCCUACUUAGGCCUAACAAAGAGGUCACCACGUCGGUCUAAAUCCUAAGCGCGCAGGGGUCUUGGGCCCAUCGCCGUUUGCACUCCUGCACAUUGCGAACGCGGCUGGUGAGCAGACCUAGCAACCUCCAUUACAAAGAAAGUUGAGUUACGCGGUCCAACCCGGCGCGCGCCGCUCAGUCGCUGAUGUCUAGGAGGCUUCGGCUGAUACUAUGACGCUGAGUGCCCAUAAUUAUUCCCGCGUGGUGUUAGUGCGUAUAGGGAAGUGGCCAACUCGUAUCAAAUACCCAAUCUUGUUAAGCGUGUCAUUCGAAGUAACCGCGGACGCCGACCAGGACCAGGCCCACCUGUCUCCUAGGUGGUCACAACCUGCCCUGUCGCUCCACCACAAAGUAACACUCGGGGGCCGUUGGGAACCCAGGCCGACCAAUACCUGGAUGGAACCACCUGUCCUUUCAGCCCCCACAUCGGAAUCACUUGCGGGUACUCUAUGAGUGAACCCGACUUUAGUCACAUCAUGUAACCUGCAUAGUAUGUAUGUAGGUAUAUACUCGUGAUCACCUCCUGAAGUGACCACGGCCUGAUGAUAUAACGUAGCAGACGGACAAGAAUGUAGGGCUACUGAUGAAAUACUAGCAUCCUAUACUAGGCAUUUAGGAUAGCAGGUACCGGUAUCAACAAUUAUAGCAACAAUGACAGGCUAAGCAACAAAAUAGGAGCUAUCGAAACAACAAUAGUAGCAAACCAAAUGCAAGAAUAAGAGAGAAGAGAGUGGGUGAUAUCUGGUUGAUCAAGGAGGGUUUGCUUUCCUGGUUGCUCUGGCAAGGAGGGGUCGUCGUUGAUCUCGUCGAUCACGGGGGUAUCGGCAGUGGUCUCGGGGUCUACCCGAAAGAAGUAACAAAGGGGAAACACAAUAAAUACACAAAGCAAUCAAAACAUCACAAAGCAUAACAUGGCAAUACGCGGUGCUAGGGGUGACUAAUGCAGUACUAGAUGAUACCGACGAAGGGGGAAAUAUCCGGGAAUGUUUUCCCGGUGUUCGGCAUUUUUUGGACAAAUGAAUUGGAGGGGACGAAUCGGUGUUCACCAUGCUAGGGGCAUGUGACAGAUGAAUGGAGUGCAUAUACGGAUUCAUCACAUUUUUCUGAGCAACUUUCAUAUAUAAAUUAUUUUCAUCUGAGCUACAGUUACUUUUCUAUUAAUUUUCAAAGUUUUAAACAUUUUCUAAAUUUAUUUAUAUUUUGAAAUUAAAUAGUAAAAUAAUUUUGUCGCCUAGUGCUAUUCUAGCCAUAAUGUAUGAUAGUGGGGCCAGGGGGUUGGGUUGACCCAGUCAAAGGUUGACUAGUCAACAUAUAAACAGUGCAGGAGGCACAUGUCAUUGACUUGGACAUUUAUUUUAAGAUUGUUUUUCGCUAAACUAAUAGUGGGUUCACAUGUCAUAUGGCUAGUAGCUAAUCUAACUAGUGCUUGACCGUAAACUAAUUGAAGAAGGCCGGCCAGAUGCACAGCCAGCCAGAGGCUGUGCACACACACACGCAUAGCACUGGGCCACUCGGCCAUGGCUAUGGCCAGAACCGAGGCUAGUUCAGGAGCAGCCAACAACGGAAAAGAAGAGCGGCAACGGCUAUGGCUAGGAGCAGCAGCAGUAGAUAGCAAUAGCAGGGAGUAGCAGCAGGUCACAGCAGCUCGUUCUGUAGCGGUAGUAGAGCAACAUGGAGCAGAGUAACAGCAAAGCAGCGCAUCAGCAAAGCAAAGGAGGCAGCAACGGCGGCAACAACACAUGAGGGUGGGCGAGCGAGCGUCACGCGCGCAUGGACGACGCGAGGGAGCAGCGGGCAGGGGUGCACCGGGCGCGUCGGUGGCUUUGGCCUUGGCCAGCAGUAGCAGCGCGGGUAGGCGCGGCCAGGGGUCGCACGGGAGCACGGACUGCGAUGCUAUGAGAGCGAAGGAGUGCAGAGACGACCAUGGCGGCGGCAUACGGAAUGGAUCGAGACCGGAGAAGAGGGGAUCCAGAGUAGAAGCUCACCGCGAUUUCGAUGAUGAGGUCGGGGAGGCGGGGGACGGACCGGAGUAGUGGCAAACGACGCCGGCGCCGGCAAUGUACGCGACGAAGAUGUGCUCGAUGCCGAGCACACGGGGCGGCUCAACUCGAUUUGGUGGGCGUAGUAGAAGGAGACGAAGGUGGGGAAGCUCCUGG
RNAcentral lists this long non-coding RNA (2995 nucleotides) under Triticum aestivum (bread wheat). RNAcentral describes it as "long non-coding RNA (TAES_LNC025631)". The record is from RNAcentral. Lineage: Eukaryota; Viridiplantae; Streptophyta; Magnoliopsida; Poales; Poaceae.